Molecule: ribosomal RNA, 317 nt
Filed under: uncultured bacterium
Lineage: Bacteria
Description: bacterial SSU rRNA
Rfam family: Bacterial small subunit ribosomal RNA
Source: RNAcentral
GAUGAACGCUAGCUAUAGGCUUAACACAUGCAAGUCGAGGGGAAACGGCAUGGGAUGCUUGCAUCUUAUGGACGUCGACCGGCGUACGGGUGAGUAACGCGUAUCCAACCUGCCCGCGAGUAGGGGAUAACCCGCAGAAAUGCGGACUAAUACCCUAUAUAGUCCAAAGAUGCCAUCAGAUUUGGACGAAAGAUUUAUCACUGACAGAUGGACAUGCGUCCCAUUAGCUGGUUGGUAGGGUAACGGCCUACCAAGGCAACGAUGGGUAGGGGAACUGAGAGGUUUAUCCCCCACAUUGGUACUGAGACACGGACCAA